Molecule: long non-coding RNA, 2071 nt
Organism: Xyrauchen texanus (razorback sucker)
Lineage: Eukaryota; Metazoa; Chordata; Actinopteri; Cypriniformes; Catostomidae
Exons: 3
Source: RefSeq, a predicted model, not a curated record
GGCUGUUAUCUUUGGUUAUCUAGCUGUAUGAGUGAUAUUCAUUCUUCAUAAAGCUAGAUAACCGAAAGUAACAAGAAUCCCAUUACACACCUGAAAGGCAUCACCCACCUUGUGAUCUGUACUCCUCCCUUCCCCUCUUCUCAUUUCUUCCCUAAGUCUCUCUCUCUCUCUCUGCAUCAUCUUGUGAGAGCAAGUCACAAAAUGGCUUCCAUCGGUACUGAUAGGAAAGACCGACAAUCAGUCUCUCCAUGAUGCCAGGAAAAGAAAACGCUGAAGAAAGCGGGGCAGGUCAGUUGUGUUGCAGUCUUCCCAUUCUGAGUCCUGCUGGCGUUGCUGCUCCCCUCCCCUUUGCUGCUCGCCUGCCCCCUUCCUCCCAUCACAAGAUGCAGCUUGCACAAAGCCACCAUCUUAGAGCAUGUGGGAAUUAAAUGGAUGUGGAAAAUAAGCAGUUUUUCAAGUUGAGUCGAAUAUCCUGGAAUCCAUUAAAUGGAGGGUUGAUUCAAGUACCGACUGCUGAUGGAGUCACAUGGGUUUUUACUAUGCUUGUGUCCCAACAUCAGAUACAAAUAGCACUUUAAUUGUUCAUUAUAACUUCAAUCUUGGCAUUUGGGAAACCUUUAGUACCUACUGUUACAGGGGCCAUAUGUUCCAUGAGUCUUGUGUGUAUGUUUGAUGAGUGUUUCUAAUUCUAAGUGUGUGUGUAUGUGUAUAUGCGUGUGUGUUUGUGUGUUGACUGUCAAGAAGAUGAGUGGGGAUAAUGCAAGAAACUUACUGUUGUACAUGUCUUGGUCAAAGUACACAAAUUGUGUAUUUAAACAAACACACUUAGAAUUCUCAGCGUAGAAUGGUUCUAUUCAAAUGGUUCUACUGUGGAGGUUUUGUAGAAAGCAAGUUUUAAAGGUCAAUCAUUUAAGUACUUUUUUGGCAAAAAACAAAGAAAAUUAAAUAAGAGAAAGAUUAGGCUAUAAAUCUUAAAAACAAAUUUAACCCAGGUCAAAACUAAUCUGUCUUGGUAGGCUGUUAUGAGUACAAUCUUGUGCAUAGUGCACUUUAUAAAUUCACAUUUUUUCUCAGAUAAUUUUUUUCUCUCAAUAGAUUUCAAUAUUAAAAGGAAAAUGUAGAGACUGCUGUUCUAGAAACUGGCUUGUUACGUUCUCUGUGCAUCCUAAAGUAUUUCUCUAAUAACUGAUUACUAAUUUAAAUAAUAAUGUAUACUGUAACCAUGUGUAAGAUUCUGCAUGUAUGAAUGCGAGACCCACGGCAGCAGUGAACAGUACUGCACUCUAAUUGGACAGCUCAGUGUGUUGUGCAUCACACACUUGUUGGAAAGAGAGCUGUUGUCUUUAAUUUCUAUGCAAUUGCGUUGAGCUUGCAAUCACCUGAAAGAGAACGCAGAUCAGAGCAGUUGUUUAUGACUCAAAAUACUUUAAUUGAGGCAUUUUUUGACAGUAGAUUAAAUCUGUUUUAAAGUGAGAUGAAGAGAAAAUGUUAAGCUGAAAUGUCAUAUGCCCACUAAAACAAGUUUCAACAAACUAUAAACUAAACAUGUUUUUUGUUAAAAUGUAGUUUCAGGACUUCAGUUUUAAAGAGGAUUAAAUGCUCUGUCUCUCUGUAUUUUGUAUUACAAUCAAUUAAGAGAAAAAUCACUAUUGCUAUGCAAAUUUUAUAAACUAUUUUUUCUGAAAAGUUUUUUUAUGCAGUAUUUGAUUUUUAUCAUCAAAAGAGAUCUGUUUUAAAUUUGAUGAAUCAAGUGACUGUGAAGACAAUGAAUUUAUUAAAUGGAGCUUUUUACUAUGCAAUCUUCCACAAUUGUGUGUUCUUUGUGUAAUUAUGUAAUGAGUCAUGAUUUUCAGUUGGUCAUAGCGCUGUAGUAUUAAUGCUAAUAAUUAAAAUCAUGUUUUCAUUUAAUUUGUAACUCUUUAAUUGUAUUAUUUUCCCUAUUGUAGGUUUCUUUCAAGUUGUAGAUGAGUGCAAAUGUGAGAUUUUUGUGUAUCAUUUUACUAAUUACAAAUACCACCACAUGUGCCUUUUAACAAUGUCCUGUUAUGGAUAUUAAUAAAAGUUUACUUUG